CCUACGGGUGGCAGCAGUGGGGAAUAUUGGGCAAUGGGCGCAAGCCUGACCCAGCAACGCCGCGUGAAGGAAGAAGGCCCUCGGGUUGUAAACUUCUUUUGUCAGGGACGAAACAAAUGACGGUACCUGACGAAUAAGCCACGGCUAACUACGUGCCAGCAGCCGCGGUAAUACGUAGGUGGCAAGCGUUAUCCGGAUUUACUGGGUGUAAAGGGCGUGUAGGCGGGAGAGCAAGUCAGAUGUGAAAUUCCAGGGCUCAACCCUGGAACUGCAUUUGAAACUGUUUUUCUUGAGUGAUGGAGAGGCAGGCGGAAUUCCGUGUGUAGCGGUGAAAUGCGUAGAUAUCAGGAGGAACACCGGUGGCGAAGGCGGCCUGCUGGACUGCAACUGACGUUGAGGCCCGAAAGCGUGGGGAGCAAACAGGAUUAGAUACCCCUGUAGUC
RNAcentral lists this ribosomal RNA (443 nucleotides) under uncultured bacterium. RNAcentral describes it as "partial 16S ribosomal RNA". It matches the Rfam family "Bacterial small subunit ribosomal RNA", at positions 338 to 795 of the family's 1533-position model. The record is from RNAcentral.